ACUCAAAUCAGUAAUGUACAAGGAGGGAUGAGCACUUUACCUAUUUGAUCAAAUAAUUAGAGUUUUAAAAACCCUUUGGCUCAUUCUUUCUUUUGAUAUUAUUUGUAGAUUAUUCUUCUCUGAAAAUGUUAUUUGCAACACCUGCCACUACUCAAAUCAGUCGUGUGAAUGACCCCCAGGAAAAUUCUGUUAGUCUUGCCCUGCCUGAUGAAGAUGAGAAUGCAACACCAAAUGCAACAUUUUCGCUGAAUGCGUUAUUUACAACACCUGCCACAACCCGAGUCAGAUAUGUAGAAGAUCAUCAGGAAGAAGAUCACACAGAAAGUAAUGCAACACAAAAUUCAGACCUGUCUCUGAAAGCCUUUUUUGCAACACCUGUCAUAACUCGAGUCAAUCAUGUUGAAGACAAUCAACAGAGUAUAGAUGACACCAUUACAACACAAGGUCCAAUUUCAUCUAUCAAAGUGUCAAUGAAUACACCUGCUACAACUCAAAUCAGUCAUGGCAAACAUCUUUAGGAGAAUACAAUCAAAUUUGCCUUUCCUGACGAUCUUCAGGAGAAAACAGUCGAAUAUGCCCUUCCCAUUGAAGAUGACACGGAAGGCAAUGCACCACAAAAUCCAGAUUUGUCUGUGAAAACAUUUGCAACACCAGCCACAACUUGGGCCAGUCAUGUAGAAAACUAUUAGCAGAAUACAGUAAAAUUUACCCUUCCUUCUGAAGAUGACACAAAAGGCAAUGCAACACUAAGUCAAGAAUCAUCUCUGAAAUUGUCAUCUGCAACACCUGCAACAACACAAAAUCAAGAUUUGUCUAUGAGAACGUUGUUUGCAACACAAUCCAUAACUCGAGUCAGCCAUGUAAAAGAACAUGAGCAGAGUACAGUCAGAUUUGAUCUUCCCAUAGAAGGUAGUGCAAGUUCCUCACCUAUUAGUUCGAUUUUAAAAGACUUCGGGUUCCUAAUUUCAUAUGU
Lactuca sativa (garden lettuce) is the source of this 973-nucleotide non-coding RNA. NCBI's taxonomy places the organism in Eukaryota, Viridiplantae, Streptophyta, Magnoliopsida, Asterales, Asteraceae. The record is from RefSeq and is a predicted model, not a curated record.